AGCGGUGUAGCUUAACGGAUAGAGCCUCCACGAUCUUCUUACCGUCUUUCAGUCUGACGACGGAGACAGUAGGCGUGGGGAGAUGCGGGUUCAAGUCCCGCCGCCGCAG
This 109-nucleotide transfer RNA is filed under the name Hyphomicrobiales bacterium. RNAcentral's name for it is "tRNA-OTHER". It matches the Rfam family "tRNA". Rfam says of the family: Transfer RNA (tRNA) molecules are approximately 80 nucleotides in length. Lineage: Bacteria; Pseudomonadati; Pseudomonadota; Alphaproteobacteria; Hyphomicrobiales. The record is from RNAcentral.